GACGAACGCUGGCGGCGUGCCUAAUACAUGCAAGUCGAACGAACUCUGGUAUUGAUUGGUGCUUGCAUCAUGAUUUACAUUUGAGUGAGUGGCGAACUGGUGAGUAACACGUGGGAAACCUGCCCAGAAGCGGGGGAUAACACCUGGAAACAGAUGCUAAUACCGCAUAACAACUUGGACCGCAUGGUCCGAGUUUGAAAGAUGGCUUCGGCUAUCACUUUUGGAUGGUCCCGCGGCGUAUUAGCUAGAUGGUGAGGUAACGGCUCACCAUGGCAAUGAUACGUAGCCGACCUGAGAGGGUAAUCGGCCACAUUGGGACUGAGACACGGCCCAAACUCCUACGGGAGGCAGCAGUAGGGAAUCUUCCACAAUGGACGAAAGUCUGAUGGAGCAACGCCGCGUGAGUGAAGAAGGGUUUCGGCUCGUAAAACUCUGUUGUUAAAGAAGAACAUAUCUGAGAGUAACUGUUCAGGUAUUGACGGUAUUUAACCAGAAAGCCACGGCUAACUACGUGCCAGCAGCCGCGGUAAUACGUAGGUGGCAAGCGUUGUCCGGAUUUAUUGGGCGUAAAGCGAGCGCAGGCGGUUUUUUAAGUCUGAUGUGAAAGCCUUCGGCUCAACCGAAGAAGUGCAUCGGAAACUGGGAAACUUGAGUGCAGAAGAGGACAGUGGAACUCCAUGUGUAGCGGUGAAAUGCGUAGAUAUAUGGAAGAACACCAGUGGCGAAGGCGGCUGUCUGGUCUGUAACUGACGCUGAGGCUCGAAAGUAUGGGUAGCAAACAGGAUUAGAUACCCUGGUAGUCCAUACCGUAAACGAUGAAUGCUAAGUGUUGGAGGGUUUCCGCCCUUCAGUGCUGCAGCUAACGCAUUAAGCAUUCCGCCUGGGGAGUACGGCCGCAAGGCUGAAACUCAAAGGAAUUGACGGGGGCCCGCACAAGCGGUGGAGCAUGUGGUUUAAUUCGAAGCUACGCGAAGAACCUUACCAGGUCUUGACAUACUAUGCAAAUCUAAGAGAUUAGACGUUCCCUUCGGGGACAUGGAUACAGGUGGUGCAUGGUUGUCGUCAGCUCGUGUCGUGAGAUGUUGGGUUAAGUCCCGCAGCGAGCGCAACCCUUAUUAUCAGUUGCCAGCAUUAAGUUGGGCACUCUGGUGAGACUGCCGGUGACAAACCGGAGGAAGGUGGGGAUGACGUCAAAUCAUCAUGCCCCUUAUGACCUGGGCUACACACGUGCUACAAUGGAUGGUACAACGAGUUGCGAACUCGCGAGAGUAAGCUAAUCUCUUAAAGCCAUUCUCAGUUCGGAUUGUAGGCUGCAACUCGCCUACAUGAAGUCGGAAUCGCUAGUAAUCGCGGAUCAGCAUGCCGCGGUGAAUACGUUCCCGGGCCUUGUACACACCGCCCGUCACACCAUGAGAGUUUGUAACACCCAAAGUCGGUGGGGUAACCUUUUAGGAACCAGCCGCCUAAGGUGGGACAGAUGAUUAGGGUG
RNAcentral lists this ribosomal RNA (1489 nucleotides) under Lactiplantibacillus plantarum. Its description in RNAcentral is "bacterial SSU rRNA". It matches the Rfam family "Bacterial small subunit ribosomal RNA". Lineage: Bacteria; Bacillati; Bacillota; Bacilli; Lactobacillales; Lactobacillaceae. The record is from RNAcentral.